AAAUUUCAACUCAAAUUUGAAUAAAAAUGUUUUUGGGUUGUUCUAAAAAAAUAAUAAGGUUUUUGAAUCAAGAUAAGAACAAAUUCUUUGACAUAAACGAAAGCUCCCCUCCCCCUUUUUUUUUAGCCACACAAACCUAAAGGAUGAAUUGUGGGGUCCAAAAGAGACAUAUGGUCACAUUUUAAAACUGCCUACAAGACACCUAUUUUAGUAAAG
RNAcentral lists this long non-coding RNA (216 nucleotides) under Mytilus galloprovincialis (Mediterranean mussel). The record is from RNAcentral. Lineage: Eukaryota; Metazoa; Mollusca; Bivalvia; Mytilida; Mytilidae.